GUAAUAUUAGUUUAAUUGGCAAAAAUAACGUCUUGUGGCGACGAUGUUCAGAGUUCAAGUCUCUGAUUUUACC
Molecule: transfer RNA, 73 nt
Filed under: Grifola frondosa (maitake)
Lineage: Eukaryota; Fungi; Basidiomycota; Agaricomycetes; Polyporales; Grifolaceae
Rfam family: tRNA
About the family: Transfer RNA (tRNA) molecules are approximately 80 nucleotides in length. Their secondary structure includes four short double-helical elements and three loops (D, anti-codon, and T loops). Further hydrogen bonds mediate the characteristic L-shaped molecular structure. tRNAs have two regions of fundamental functional importance: the anti-codon, which is responsible for specific mRNA codon recognition, and the 3' end, to which the tRNAs corresponding amino acid is attached (by aminoacyl-tRNA synthetases). tRNAs cope with the degeneracy of the genetic code in two manners: having more than one tRNA (with a specific anti-codon) for a particular amino acid; and 'wobble' base-pairing, i.e. permitting non-standard base-pairing at the 3rd anti-codon position.
Source: Rfam by way of RNAcentral